RNAcentral lists this small RNA (127 nucleotides) under Marmota monax (woodchuck). The record is from RNAcentral. Lineage: Eukaryota; Metazoa; Chordata; Mammalia; Rodentia; Sciuridae.
GCUGGGCGCAGUGGCACACUCCUGUAAUCUCAGUGACUUGGGAGGCUGAGGCAGGAGGAUCAUGAGUUCAAAGCCAACCUCAGCAACUUAGUGAGGCUCUAAGCAACUCAGUGAGACCCUGUCUCUA